CCUGAAAAGCAAAAACAUAAAACUUCAAAUCACAUCAACACACUCCAGCUCAAGUCUAUAUAACAAAUACUAUUUAGAUCGAAUACAAAGUGAAAUAUACUAGAAUAAAUUGUGUUUGGCAACAAGUCUGCUCGAUAGUAUGAUAUGAAUAUGCAAAAAAUAUACUUUUAAUUUUUUCCUAAAAAGUACAGAAUGAAAAUGAGACAUGUUUGCAACAUGUCCUCAAGCAUGAUCACAUUCAAUUGUAACAGAUCUGACCUUGAUUAAUCACCAUGACCUUGAUAAAUCAACUACGACUAUCAGUCAAAUGAAUGACCUUGACCAUUCAGUUUACCUUGUACGAAGUGACAAAAGGACCAAGGAAAGGUGGAAAGACCUCUAAUGUUUGUGAACAAUUUGGAUUACUCCUAGAUUUUGAUGGGGGUGGGGGUCAUUAAAAUUCCUGUAGAGACCCCUACCUGUGUCCUUUGAGCUGAAUCAUUCCCUUCUUGCUGGUCUCCUCCAGAAAUUUCUUCUCUAAAGAUUCAUCCCCAUCUGGGCCUCCUAUUCUGAAAGGGACGUUCAUUCGACUGCGACAAUGCGACUUCACUGUCCCACUGAAAAACGAAGGAAAAGAACAUUAGCAUUCCGACAUUAAAUGCAAGAUUUCACAACACUUAACAAAAAAAUCAUAAACUUAUAUUGAGAUAACUAAUGCUACACUGUACAAAAUCUAUAAACAUGCAACUUAUCUGUAAUAUGACAAUAUUUUACAAUUUCGAAAUAUUUGUUCACGUAAAAAAAAACUUACAAUAUUUCAAUCAAUAGGACAUUUUAACAAACACCUACUGAUAGAAUCCAUUGGACUUUUCUAUAACAUCAUACACUGCUUCUGAUUUUUGCUUGGAGUUUUCAGCCAUUUUUUCCACACCUCCCUGGUCUUUCACCCACUGAAGAACUAGGCCCAAGAUGUAGAUACUGAAAAAUAACAACAGCACAAAUGGAGACUUUCAUUGGUUGGGCUCUCAAUAAUAAAUGGUUUCUGAUGGUUAAUCUGAAGAACAAUUGUAAACUGCACAAAAUUUGUAGAAGUACUGUGUGUGUACAUAUUUGAGUGUAUUUUAAAAAAUUUGAAGCAGUAGGAUCUGAUGCACUGUUUGACGUAAUCAUGAUUGAGCACUUGUUUUGUGGUUGGUAAUAGAUGAAUAGAGAUUUUCAUACUUCAACAGAACCAUAAAACUGACAAAGCCACUAAAAUCUGAAUCCCGUUAAAACAAGUUGUAAGUGCAGUGUAUUAUCUGUAGCAUGUACUACCAUUGCACUACAUAAUUUACUUUGACAUUAAAUGACUACAUACUUGUAUGUGGGCGCGGUGUUGUAGAGGGAGUUGUUGCCCACUUGGACUUUGUAGUCGAGGGUGACGGGACACUCGGGCAUGGCUUUCCCGAGGAGGUCCUCCCUGAUAAUGACGAGGGUCACGCCCGCACAGCCCAUGUUUUUCUGGGCUCCCGCAAAAAUCACACCAAACUGCAACAAAAAUAAUGAACAAGUGUUUUAAAGGACCGACAAUGCACUGGUGCUUUAAAACUGGGAUGACAUUGGCAUCUGGUUGAUUCAAAAAUUUCAGCAAGAUGGGUAAUUCAUAAAAACAUGUAAAUUUUUCUUGAGCCAGCUUAUUUCAGUUAUGAAUUCUUUAUUUCUUUACCUUUGAUACGUCGAAUGGUUUGGACAAAAUAUUUGAGGACAUGUCGCAGACUAAAGGAAUGCCGUUGGGGUCUGGGAUAUCGGAAAACUCCACCCCAUGGAUGGUCUCGUUGGAACAGUAAUAAACAUAGGAAGCGUCGGGACUUAGUGACCAUUGGCUAACAUCAGGUAUAGCUGCAAUCAAAAUUAUCAGCUGAGCAUAUCUAAAAUGCUUUGAAGAAGAUUAAGUGUAUUCAUCUCAAAGUUUGAACUGAAAAACUUUCACAGUCCACUAUACAUACAUCUUCACAUCUCAUUAAUUCCCUUUAAAUCACUCACUGUUGCAGUGAUAAGGAUAUAAUAAGUGGUAGGGAUAUAACAAGAGUUUAAAAGCUCUCAUGUGUACAAUAGCGUAACUGACCAUGCUGACAAAAUGAAAUCAGAGUGUCCCUCAACGACACAACAUAAAUUUUGUUUUCUAUUUUCGAUUCAAGUCUUGCGCAUGUGCUCAAAAAACAAAAACACACUUACUGGUGUACGACUCCAGUUUAGGAAGUACACGGUUAACCUUCCCGUACUUUUCCGCCUCAUUGGCUGCUUUAGCUGACCAGGUACCCGUGACGAUGUAGUCUGCCUUUGCCUCAGGUCGAAGUUUCAUCAGGUUCAGUGGUACUGCUGAGAACUGACCGGUACCACCCCCUUGCUUGAAAAUCACCUUGUAGUUAUCGGGGAUGUUU
Ostrea edulis (European flat oyster) is the source of this 2399-nucleotide long non-coding RNA. RefSeq lists it as uncharacterized. The transcript has 2 exons. The record is from RefSeq and is a predicted model, not a curated record. Lineage: Eukaryota; Metazoa; Mollusca; Bivalvia; Ostreida; Ostreidae.